AGGACGAACGCUGGCGGCGUGCUUAACACAUGCAAGUCGAGCGGAAAGGCCCUUCGGGGUACUCGAGCGGCGAACGGGUGAGUAACACGUGAGCAACCUGCCCUUAGCUUCGGGAUAGCUCCCGGAAACGGGAAUUAAUACCGGAUACGACUGCGGUAGACAUCUACCACGGUGAAAAGAAUUUCGGCUAAGGAUGGGCUCGCGGUCUAUCAGCUAGUUGGUGGGGUAACGGCCUACCAAGGCGACGACGGAUA
Molecule: ribosomal RNA, 254 nt
Filed under: uncultured bacterium
Lineage: Bacteria
Description: partial small subunit ribosomal RNA
Rfam family: Bacterial small subunit ribosomal RNA
Source: RNAcentral